Molecule: long non-coding RNA, 220 nt
Filed under: Gallus gallus (chicken)
Lineage: Eukaryota; Metazoa; Chordata; Aves; Galliformes; Phasianidae
Source: RNAcentral
AAAUAAAACAAUUCACUAAAUUCUUUGGCAUCAGAAGAAUCAUAGAGCUGGUCUUGUUCCACUGUGGCGAGUACGAGAGUCUUCCAAACAUACUUGUCUGUUAUCUCGUGGUACACGCUUCCGACGAUCUCUGAAUGCAGCUCCUGACUGCAAGGCCUCGAGGAGACUAUCCAUCACUCCUGUCUCAUCACCUUCUUUGUUCAUAUCAAGCAACCGUUGC